GGUGAGACCGAGACUAGUCCACACUGGCCUCUUCGUUCGUGUUUUGUGCUUUCAUAUCAGCGCACCAUAUUUGAAGACAUAUUAAGUAUCACUGUUUUCAACAAGCAAGAUACUCCCUCGUUUCAGUACCCUUCAUUCAUUGAUCUUGACAUCUUACCAGGUUCACCAAGGUUGCCUCUGACUGCUUGAUCAAGACGAAAACCAAAGAUGCAUAGGAGGGGCAAUUCACGAUGUAAGGCUUCAUCAUCUAAUCAAAACAUGACCUGUGAAGCUGCCGGCACUACAAGUAAGGCAAUUCCUUUGGAAACUUGUAAGUUGAGCGAUGAUCUGAAUUUGCUUCAAUUGAUGCUAAGAGAAAAGCUUUCUGACCCCUUUCAGCCGCCUUUCAGCCGCCCGCGCGUGGAGUUAAGAUAGUUAUCACAACAAGAAACGAUGGCGUCCCAUCGAUCAUGGGUGGCUUUUCACACCACCAUCUAGAGGCAUUAUCAGAAUAUGAUUGCUUGUCAGUGUUUGCACAUCAUGUUUUAGAAAAGCAAAAUUUGAUGCAAUCCAAAUCUGCAAGCUUUUGGGUAAGAAUAGCAAGCUAGUGUAAGGGCUUACCGUUGGCAGCAAAAUUUUUUUGAGGGGAAGCUGCGUUCCACGCUAAAAGAUAUCAAAUUGUGAGAUAUGGGAUAUAUAUACAUGAGAGAAUGAAUGGAGUUUUUCCACCCCUAUGUUGCCACAACAGGAUAGUUUUUUAUGGUAGCCGACGGAUUUGUACCAUUUGUUGCCGCACUAGUUUGUCCCUUGAGGAGUUAACUGUAUGUACUGAUGGCUGCUGCAAUAUUCCGAAUAAGCUGAGGAAAUCAUGAGCUAGUACUUCAAUGCAAUGGAGUCCUGGGUUGGAUGAAGGCAAUUCAUCAGUGCCUGAUUGUGAGCACUCUUCGACUUUCAAACACCGAUCAUUUUGCAGUUUCCAUGGAGGAGUAUUCAACGAAUGAACAAGGAUCUUCUCAUGGUUUGGCCACAUUGGCUGUGGAAAAACAAGGGGGGAUUCCAGAUCUUGGAUCGCUUUUCGUAUCUUCUUUGUAGAGCUUUUGGCUGGCUCGGAUAAUUCAGGUAUGGAAUAUUAUAUCUCUCACACACACACACACACACACACACACACACACACACACACUAGCUAGCUAGCAGUACUGCAAUAAAAUCUGCAUAUUUUGGCACACCUUCAAAGAACUGUAUGUGGUAGAAGCAAGGUGCGCGUAUAAUUUCUACAGAAAUGAUCUCUAGCUAGAUAUUGCUCCAUAUUAUAUAUAUUGGCACAAUCAGUCAGUUGAAUGCACAAGUCUUGUGUUAUAUAUAGCUAAAUCCAACAGAACUUAAUCAUGAUCAGACCAACAAAAAGGGAAAUGAGGGGGGAAAUGUCAAUAGCGCGCAGUAUUAGGAAAUAUGGUAUGAUCAAUGCGAAAGGCGAGUCGUAGGCGAGUCAGGUUCUUUUAUUUAUUAGUUUACAGAGUGUGAUCCUAUAUAGAGACAUAGUCUUGGUUGGGCGAAGAACAUAUCUGCAGUAAGAUCGAUCGACCAAAUUCCUCCUGGAGUUGGUGAUGAUGGAGCUGCACUGAGUGUACGUGGGGUUCAAUUUCUAAGACCUAGGCUGCAAUAUUGAGCUUGGGUGGCCAAACCACUCGCGGUACAGGUGAAUGCAUCAAAAUCUAGGUGAGAUUCUAUCAACUUCUUUUUAUUUAAUUUUUAUCUAUAAAAUAUUAUUUUAUUUAAAAAAUUGUCUAAAACAACGCUAUUUUAAAUAAAAAUUAAAAAAUUAUUAAUUUGCAGGUUGACCUAUCCCACCUGUAAUCUAA
Molecule: RNA transcript, 1838 nt
Organism: Populus nigra (black poplar)
Lineage: Eukaryota; Viridiplantae; Streptophyta; Magnoliopsida; Malpighiales; Salicaceae
Gene name: putative disease resistance protein At3g14460
Exons: 5
Source: RefSeq, a predicted model, not a curated record